This is a long non-coding RNA of Astyanax mexicanus (Mexican tetra), 173 nucleotides long. RefSeq lists it as uncharacterized. NCBI's taxonomy places the organism in Eukaryota, Metazoa, Chordata, Actinopteri, Characiformes, Acestrorhamphidae. The record is from RefSeq and is a predicted model, not a curated record. The transcript has 3 exons.
CUUUUAGUUUACCUGGAGGAUCAGACCAUUUCACGCCAUUUCAGGACCUUCACCAAGAAAGUGAAACGACUCUACUCUACAGGAAAUAAGUCAUCCAGAUUUCUCUACUUUAUUCAUCUUUUUCAACUAUGGCGAAGAAAAGGAAAAUGCUGGAAGGUCAAAAAAAACUUACC